This 6594-nucleotide long non-coding RNA is filed under the name Corvus moneduloides (New Caledonian crow). Its description in RNAcentral is "lncRNA (ENSCMUG00000020050.1)". The record is from RNAcentral. Lineage: Eukaryota; Metazoa; Chordata; Aves; Passeriformes; Corvidae.
AUGCAGGAAUUUGCGCCGUUUUUCCCAGGAUUUUUUUUUUUUGGGAUGAGGGUGGGGGGUUUUGGGUUUGUUUUCCGGGCAGGGAGGAGCUUCUCCCAGCAGGGAUUAUUAGGGAAAAAUAACAUCCCGAUUUCCAGGGGAGACGGAGGCUGGAAUCGCGGGCCGGGAUUUAGGCGGGGAUUGCAUUCCCGGGGUUUCAGCCGUGCCAGGGCUGGGAAUGGGGAUUUAUCCGAGAUUUAUCCGGGAUUUAUCCGAGAUUUAUCCGGGAUUUAUCCGGGAUUUAUCUGGGGUUCCAUUCCCUGUUUUUCCCAGUUAUGCAGAGAGUGGGAAUUGGGGUUUAUCCAGGAUUCCAUUCCCUGUUUUUCCAGUUGUUCCAAGGGCAGGAAUGGGGAUUUAUCCAGGAUUUAUCCAGGAUUUAUCCGGGAUUCCAUUCCCUGGGUUUCCAGUUGUUCCAAGGCUGGGAAUGGGGAUUUCUCCAGGAUUCCAUUCCCUGUUUUUCCCAGUUGUGCAAAGAGUGGGAAUUGGGGUUUAUCCAGGAUUUCAUUCCCUGUUUUUCCAGUUGUUCCAAGGCUGGGAAUGGGGAUUUAUCCAGGAUUUCUCCAGGAUUCCAUUCUCUGUUUUUCCCAGUUACGCAGAGAGUGGGAAUUGGGGUUUUUCUGGGAUUCCAUUCCCUGUUUUUUCCAGUUACGCAGAGAGUGGGAAGUGGGAUUUAUCCAGGAUUGCAUUCCCUGUUUUUCCAGUUGUUCCAAGGCUGGGAAUUGGGGUUUUUCUGGGAUUUCAUUCUCUGUUUUUUUCCAGUUAUGCAAAAGCUGGGAAUUGGGAUUUAUCCAGGAUUUAUCUGGGAUUCCAUUCCCUGGGAUUCCAUUCCCUGUUUUUCCAGUUGUUCCAAGGCUGGGAAUGGGGAUUUAUCCAGGAUUUCUCCAGGAUUCCAUUCCCUGCUUUUCCAGCCCUGCCAAGGCUGGGAAUUGGGGUUUUUCUGGGGUUCCAUUCCCUGGGUUUCCAGUUGUUCCAAGGGCAGGAAUGGGGAUUUAUCCAGGAUUUAUCUGGGAUUCCAUUCCCUGUUUUCCCAGUUGUUCCAAGGCUGGGAAUGAGGAUUCAUCCAGGAUUUAUCCGGGAUUUAUCUGGGAUUCCAUUCCCUGUUUUCCCAGUUGUGCAAAGAGUGGGAAUUGGGAUUUAUCCAGGAUUGCAUUCCCUGGGUUUUCUGGUUGUUCCAAGGGCAGGAAUGGGGAUUUAUCCGGGAUUUAUCUGAGAUUUAUCCGGGAUUUAUCCAGGAUUCCAUUCCCUGUUUUCCCAGUUACGCAGAGAGUGGGAAUUGGGGUUUUUCUGGGAUUCCAUUCCCUGGGUUUCCAGUUGUUCCAAGGGCAGGAAUGGGGAUUUAUCCAGGAUUUAUCUGGGAUUCCAUUCCCUGUUUUCCCAGUUACGCAGAGAGUGGGAAUUGGGGUUUUUCUGGGAUUCCAUUCCCUGUUUUCCCAGUUGUUCCAAGGGCAGGAAUGGGGAUUUAUCCAGGAUUUAUCUGGGAUUCCAUUCCCUGUUUUCCCAGUUGUUCCAAGGCUGGGAAUGGGGAUUUUUCUGGGAUUCCAUUCGCUGUUUUCCCAGUUAUGCAAAGAGUGGGAAUUGGGGUUUAUCUGGGAUUCCAUUCCCUGGGAUUCCAUUCCCUGUUUUUCCAGUUGUUCCAAGGCUGGGAAUUGGGGCUUUAUCCCAGAUUCCAUUCCCUGUUUUUUCCAGUUGUUCCAAGGGCAGGAAUGGGGAUUUAUCCAGGAUUUAUCCGGGAUUUAUCCAGGAUUUAUCUGGGAUUCCAUUCCCUGUUUUCCCAGUUAUGCCAAGGCUGGGAAUUAGGAUUUUUCUGGGAUUCCAUUCCCUGUUUUCCCAGUUGUUCCAAGGGCAGGAAUGGGGAUUUAUCCAGGAUUUAUCCAGGAUUUAUCUGGGAUUCCAUUCCCUGCUUUCCCAGCUGUUCCAAGGCUGGGAAUUGGGAUUUAUCCCAGAUUCCAUCCCCUGCUUUCCCAGCUGUUCCCAGUGCAGGCAAUGAGGAUUCAUCCAGCAUUUCUCCGGGAUUUCUCCAGGAUUCCAUCCCCUGCUUUUUUCCAACCCUGCAAAGGGUGGGAAUCGCAGCCGCCUGGGCUCAAUUCCUGGAAAAACGCCCUGGGAAUGUGGGGGAAAAAUCUGGGAGACGAUCCCAGCCCGUCAGCAGGGACGGCAACGGGGGGGUGCCGAGGGGGGGAUGGACUUGGAUUGGCCGAGCCUCGAGGUCUUUCCCAACGGAAAGAAUUCCAGGAUUCCAGAUGGGGCCGCCUCGGGGAUUAUUGGGGCUGGGCUGGGGGGGCUCGGAAUUCCCAGCUGGAAUUCUUUUCCCAGGAAUUUCGGCCGCAGGUGAGGACGGAGCUCUUGGAGGAGGUUGGGGAUGGGGGAGGGGGGGGAGGUUGAGGGGGUGUUUGGAUGGAUUCCCAACAUUCCCGGAGUGGUUUUUUUUUUUUCCUGGAUCCAGCACAUUCCAGUAGUUUUUCAUUCUUUCCCUUGGUUUUUCCAAAGGGGGGGGGGGGGGGGAAGGAGAAGGAGGAGGGAAUUUUUAUGGUUUUUUUUUUCCUUUCUUUUCCCGCCCACUCCCGGCUCUUCCCAGAGCCACUUCCUCUGCUUUGCUCUGGGAAUGCUCGUGGGAUGGGGCUUUCCAUGAGCUCCGGAACUUUUCCACUGACAAAAACCUUCUGGGAAUUUUUGAUCCAGCGGCAAAAGGUUGGGAAAAAAAAAAAAACCAACAAAACCAACCCCCCAAAAAAAAAAAAAACCCCAACAACAACAAAAAAAUCCGUCGGAAACGGAGCUUGGAAAGGAAACCGGGAUUGGAAAAGGGAAGCUCAGGGAAUUUUGGGUGGUUAUCCGGAGGUGUUUAUCCCAAAAAACUCUUUCCUGCUGCUUCCAGAGCUGAGAGGAGCUCGGAGAGGGACGGAUCUCAGCUGGGAUAUCCCGGGAAUUGGGGCUUUUCCUGGGAUUUCAUUCCCUGUUUUCUCAGGGAAAAGCGGGAUUUGCCUUCCCGGCGCCGGGAUCCGUCGGAUUUCCCGGUGGGUGUUUGGAGGAGGAGGGGGGGGGGGGUGAAGCUUUUCCUGCAUCCAGAGGUGACCAAAAAUUCCAGAGGGGGAGCGUUGGGAAUCUCGCCGCGCUUCAGGUACAAAAAACCGGGCAGAAAAGGGUGGAAAUCCCUGGAUUUUCCAGCGUGGGGUGGGAUCCUUGAGGAUUUUCCUGCUUUUUUUUGGGGGGGGGAUCCGGCUGCUUUCCGGGAAUUCCUCGGGAUUGGGAUGUGGGAUUGGGAUGUGGGAUUGGGAUGGGGGGGGAGGGGUUAAACCGGGCUGUUCCCGCAGGAUUUGGGGUUGGAUUUGAUUCCUCUCGGUCUCUCCCGGAGUUUUUCCCACGUGGGGAAAAAAAAAGUCCUGGAUUCGGGGAAGGAGGAGAGCGCUGCCCUCGUUCCGGCUCCCAUUCCCGAGGGAUCCCCUCCCUCUGGAAUCAGCCCCGGCUCCGUGUCCUGCUUAUCCCAGGGAUGUGGCCUGGGAAUUUUCUCCGUCUGCCCCUGGCGCUGCUUUUUUUGGAAUUUCCCUUGAAUCCAGAGGGGAAAAAAAGAAAAAAAAACCUGGCAACGAGCUCGGGUGUUGCCUUUGGGAAUUUUGGGAAUUUGAAGGGUUUUAUUCCAAGCCUGGCUUUGGAUUGGGCAAGAAAUGAAGGAAAAUAAGCGGGGAUGUGGUUCCUGGAGAGAUCCUGGGGGGGUUUUUUUAUUCCAGGGGCUUUUUUUUAAAUCCAGGGAUGAAGGAUCCGCCUCUCCCUGCUCCUUAUCCCGCUGGGAUUGAGAAUUCCAGGUUUUCCCUGUCCUUUAUCCUGCUGGGAUUGAGGAAUUCCAGCUUUUCCUGCCCACUGGGAUUGAGAAUUCCACGUUUUCCCUGUCCUUUAUCCCACUGGGAUUGAGAAUUCCAGCUUUUUCCCUGUCCUUUAUCCCUCUGGGAUUGAGAAUUCCAGCUUUUCCUGUCCUUUAUCCCACUGGAACUGAGGAAUUCCAGCUUUUCCUGCCCAACUGGGAUUGAGAAUUCCAGCUUUUCCUGUCAUUUAUCCUGCUGGGAUUGAGAAUUCCAAAUUUCCCUGUCCUUUAUCCCACUGGGGUUGAGAAUUCCAGCUUUUCCUGCCCACUGGGAUUGAGAAUUCCAGCUUUUCCCUGUCCUUUAUCCCGCUGGGAUUGAGAAUUCCAGGUUUUCCCUGCUCCUUUAUCCCACUGGGAUUGAGAAUUCCAGGUUUUUCCUGUGCUUUAUCUCGCUGGAACUGAGGAAUUCCAGCUUUUCCUGCCCACUGGGGUUGAGAAUUCCAGGUUUCCCUGUCCUUUAUCCUGCUGGGAUUGAGGAAUUCCAGCUCUUCCUGCCCACUGGGAUUGAGAAUUCCUGCUUUUCCCUGUCCUUUAUCCCACUGGGAUCAAGGAAUUCCAGUUUUCCCUGUCCUUUAUCCCACUGGAACUGAGGAAUUCCAGGUUUCCCUGUCCUUUAUCCCACUGGGAUUGAGAAUUCCAAAUUUCCCUGCUCCUUUAUCUCGCUGGGAUUGAGAAUUCCAGCUUUUUUCUGUCCUUUAUCCCACUGGGAUUGAGAAUUCCAGGUUUUCCUGCCCACUGGGAUCAAGGAAUUCCAGUUUUCCCUGCUCCUUUAUCCCACUGGGAUUGAGAAUUCCAGGUUUUUCCUGUCCUUUAUCCCACUGGGAUUGAGAAUUCCAGCUUUUCCUGUCCUUUAUCCCACUGGGAUUGAGAAUUCCAGGUUUUCCCUGCUCCUUUAUCCUGCUGGGAUUGAGAAUUCCAGGUUUUCCCUGUCCUUUAUCUCGCUGGGAUUGAGAAUUCCAGCUUUUCCUGCCCACUGGAAUCAAGGAAUUCCAGUUUUUCCUGCCCAUUUUCCCACUGGAAUUCAGCCAUUCCAGCUUUUCAUGCCCUCUGGGAUUGAGAAUUCCAGCUUUUUCUGCCCCAUUUUCCCUCUGGAAUUAAGAAUUCCAAUUUUCCCUCCCUGUUAUCCCGCUGGAACUGAGGAAUUCCAGCUUUUCCUGCCCACUGGAAUUCAGCAAUUCCAGCUUUCCCUGCCCAUUUUCCCUCUGGAAUUCAGCAAUUCCAGCUUUUCCUGCCCACUGGAAUUCAGCAAUUCCAGCUCUCCCCGUGGAUCCCAGAACUUCGCAGGUAAAAUUCCCCCUUUUUUUUUAUCCCGUGCUGGAUUUUUCCAACCUCAAUUCCCACAAAAUCCCUGCGGGGGGAGGAGGAGGAGGAGGAGGAGGAGGAGGGAGGGUGGGGGUGGAAAUUCCAACCGAAAUCGGGAAGGAAGGAAUGGAUGGGGCGGGGUGGGAAGGGGAAUUCCGGAGCCCCGGGAAUGGCCCCGGGACCGGGAAUGUCCUGAAUUCCAGGAUCGGCCUGAAUUCCAGGAUCGGCCCGAAUUCCAGGAUUGUUCCCAGCACGUCCCUGAUCCCGGGAUUCUCAAUCCCGGUGGGAAAAUGGGCAGGGAAAGCUGGAAUUGCUGAAUUCCAGAGGGAAAAUGGGGCAGGAAAAGCUGGAAUUCCUCAGUUCCAGCGGGAUAACAGGGAGGGAAAAUUGGAAUUGUCAAUCCCAGUGGGAAAAUGGGCAGGAAAAGCUGGAAUUGCUGAAUUCCAGUGGGAAAAUGGGCGGGAAAAGGUGGGAUUCUCGAUUCCAGUGGGAAAAUGGGCAGGAAAAACUGGAAUUCCUUGAUCCCAGUUGGCAGGAAAAGCUGGAAUUGUCAAUCCCUGGAUUGUCCCUGAUCCGGGAUUGUCCUGAAUUCCGGGAUUGUCCCCAGCUCUGGAAUGUCCUCGAUCCCGGGAUUCUCAAUCCCAGUGGGAAAAUGGGCAGGGAAAGCUGGAAUUGCUGAAUUCCAGAGGGAAAAUGGGGCAGGAAAAGCUGGAAUUCCUCAGUUCCAGCGGGAUAACAGGGAGGGAAAAUUGGAAUUGUCAAUCCCAGUGGGAAAAUGGGCAGGAAAAGCUGGAAUUCCUUGAUCCCAGAGGGCAGGGAAAAGCUGGAAUUGUCAAUCCCUGGAUUGUCCCUGAUCCGGGAUUGUCCUGAAUUCCGGGAUUGUCCCCAGCACAUCCCAGAUCCCGGGAUUCUCAAUCCCAGAGGGAAAAUGGGCAGGGAAAGCUGGAAUUGCUGAAUUCCAGAGGGAAAAUGGGCAGGAAAAACUGGAAUUGUCAAUCCCUGGAUUGUCCCUGAUCCUGGGAUUGUCCUCGGCCCUGGAAUUGCAGGACUGGGAUUGUCUCAGAUCCCAGGAUUCUCAAUCCCGGUGGGAAAAUGGGGCAGGGAAAGCUGGAAUUCCUCAGUUCCAGUGGGAAAAUGGGCAGGAAAAACUGGAAUUGGCAAUCCCUGGAUUGUCCCUGAUCCCGGGAUUGUCCUGAAUUCCGGGAUUGUCCCCAGCUCUGGAAUGUCCUCAGUCCUGGGAUUGUCCCUGAUCCUGGAUUGUCCCUGAUCCCGGGAUUGUCCUGAAUUCCGGGAUUGUCCCCAGCUCUGGAAUGUCCUCAGUCCUGGGAUUGUCCCUGAUCCUGGAUUGUUCCCGAUCCCGGGAUUGGCCCUGGAAUUGCAGGGCUGGGAUUGUUCCC